RNAcentral lists this ribosomal RNA (520 nucleotides) under Comamonas sp. enrichment culture. RNAcentral's name for it is "bacterial SSU rRNA". It matches the Rfam family "Bacterial small subunit ribosomal RNA", at positions 383 to 896 of the family's 1533-position model. Lineage: Bacteria; Pseudomonadati; Pseudomonadota; Betaproteobacteria; Burkholderiales; Comamonadaceae. The record is from RNAcentral.
CUGAUCCAGCAAUGCCGCGUGCAGGAUGAAGGCCUUCGGGUUGUAAACUGCUUUUGUACGGAACGAAAAGGCUCGGGUUAAUACCCUGGGGUCAUGACGGUACCGUAAAAGUAAGCACCGGCUAACUACGUGCCAGCAGCCGCGGUAAUACGUAGGGUGGUAGCGUUAAUCGGAAUUACUGGGCGUAAAGCGUGCGCAGGCGGUUUUGUAAGACAGAAGUGAAAUCCCCGGGCUCAACCUGGGAACUGCCUUUGUGACUGCAAGGCUAGAGUACGGCAGAGGGGGAUGGAAUUCCGCGUGUAGCAGUGAAAUGCGUAGAUAUGCGGAGGAACACCGAUGGCGAAGGCAAUCCCCUGGGCCUGUACUGACGCUCAUGCACGAAAGCGUGGGGAGCAAACAGGAUUAGAUACCCUGGUAGUCCACGCCCUAAACGAUGUCAACUGUUUGUUGGGUCUUAACUGACUCAGUAACGAAGCUAACGCGUGAAGUUGACCGCCUGGGGAGUACGGCCGCAAGGUUG